CCUGGUUGAUCCUGCCAGUAGUCAUAUGCUUGUCUCAAAGAUUAAGCCAUGCAUGUCUAAGUACACACUUUGGUAAAGUGAAACCGCGAAUGGCUCAUUAAAUCAGCUACAAUUUAUUAGAUCGUACACUGUUACUUGGAUAACUGUGGGAAUUCUAGAGCUAAUACAUGCCGAGAGUCUCUGCUCUUCGGGGCAGAGCGCAGUUAUUAGACCAAAACCAGCCGUAUUCUUCGGGGUACGCUCUUUUGGUGACCCUGGAUAACCUUCAGCCGAUCGCAUGGCCUCGUGCCGGCGACGUAUCUUUCAAGUGUCUGCCCUAUCAACUUUCGAUGGUACGUGAUAUGCCUACCAUGGUGAUAACGGGUAACGGGGAAUCAGGGUUCGAUUCCGGAGAGGGAGCCUGAGAAAUGGCUACCACAUCCAAGGAUGGCAGCAGGCGCGCAAAUUACCCACUCCCAGCUUGGGGAGGUAGUGACGAAAAAUAGCAAUGCGGGACUCUAAGAGGCCCCGUAAUUGGAAUGAGUACACCUUAAAUCGUUUAACGAGUAUCAAUUGGAGGGCAAGUCUGGUGCCAGCAGCCGCGGUAAUUCCAGCUCCAAUAGCGUAUAUUAAAGUUGCUGCAGUUAAAAAGCUCGUAGUUGGAUCUGGGGCUUGAGGUCGCUGUCUAUCGUUUCGGCGAUGACGGUGAUGCUCAGCUCUGCUUGCCGGUGACUGUUGCGGUGUUCUUCACUGAGCGCUGUAGCAGCACGGCACGUUUACUUUGAAAAAAUUAGAGUGCUCAAAGCGUGCUUGUCGCUUGAAUAAUGUUGCAUGGAAUAAUGGAAUAGGACCUCGGUUCUAUUUUGUUGGUUUUCGGAGCUUGAGGUAAUGAUUAAGAGGGACGAACGGGGGCAUUCGUAUUGCGGUGUUAGAGGUGAAAUUCUUGGAUCGCCGCAAGCCGGACUACUGCGAAAGCAUUUGCCAAGAACGCUUUCAUUAAUUAAGAACGAAAGUCAGAGGUUCGAAGACGAUCAGACACCGUCCUAGUUCUGACCAUAAACGAUGCCGACCAGCGAUCCGUAGUGGUUGCUUUAUGGACCCUACGGGCAGCCUCCGGGAAACCAAAGUAUUUGGGUUCCGGGGGAAGUAUGGUUGCAAAGCUGAAACUUAAAGGAAUUGACGGAAGGGCACACCAGGAGUGGAGCCUGCGGCUUAAUUUGACCCAACACGGGAAAACUCACCCGGUCCGGACACCGUAAGGAUUGACAGACUGAUAGCUCUUUCUUGAUUCGGUGGAUGGUGGUGCAUGGCCGUUCUUAGUUGGUGGAGUGAUUUGUCUGGUUAAUUCCGAUAACGAACGAGACUCUAGCCUGCUAAGUAGUGUUGCUAUUG
RNAcentral lists this ribosomal RNA (1371 nucleotides) under metagenome. Its description in RNAcentral is "SSU rRNA". It matches the Rfam family "Eukaryotic small subunit ribosomal RNA", at positions 3 to 1369 of the family's 1831-position model. The record is from RNAcentral.